UUGGCCGACACAGUCGCAGUCCAGCUCGUCGGUGAAUGGGUCCGUGUCGGUGGCGAAAUGUCCGCGGGUUUUCGCUGUUGCGGUUGACGUUAGCGGUCGCGCGAUGAUGUAGCGAGAUGCCUAGGGCUCGCCAUGUGUCACGGCGAUUGUGUGCCGACCGCGUGUAGUGCCGUAGACCGUGCUACGAUGGCCUCGGACCCAGCGCUGCCCGACUUGUCGCACCUCACACCCGAGGAAAGGCAGAUCAUCGAGAACGUUAUGCUGCGGCAGAAACAGGAGGAGGAGCGCGAGCUGGAGAUCAUGAGGCGGAAGCAGGACGAAGUAGAAGUCCUGGAGGAGACGAUCCGGCAGCGUUCUGAGCAACAGAAGAAGGCGGGGGUUGAGCUAGACGCUACUUGUCACAUCUGCCUCAAGACCAAGUUCGCGGACGGCGUCGGUCACAUGUGCAACUACUGCAACAUCCGAUGUUGCGCAAGAUGUGGCGGCAAAGUCACUCUGCGCUCCAACAAGGUGAUCUGGGUGUGCAUCCUCUGCCGCAAGAAGCAAGAGCUGUUGAGCAAGACGGGUCAGUGGAUCAACAAGGGAAUGUCAGCUGGCGACCCGAUCAUGCGGCGUAUCGAGGCGGAUCUGCAGCAACAAGACAAGCGGCCCAAGCUGGAGCGAGCGCACUCUGCCGCGGAGAAGGAGAACCAACCGUUGCUGCAGCGGUCUGGCUCGCAGCUGAGGCGACAAUACAGUCAGCAAGACGCCAGCCGCGAGGAAGAGGCGCGAUACUACCGCGGAGAACUAGAGGGUCUGAUGAGAUCACACCAGUACGCGACGAUGACGGGCGGCCGCGGAGAGUUGAGGAACGACUCGCUCAGCUCCGAGCAAUCUUCCAGCAUGGACUGUGCGCCCGCGCCCGCUAGUCGUGGCGGAGCCAUCACCGUGCUGGUAACCGGCAAGAAACACAAGAGGACCGGGUCCGCGAAAAAACAAUCCGGGAGUGGAAGUGGGAGUGCGCGCGGGUACCAUCAGACGCCGCAACCGCCCCAGAGAUCGUUCUCUAGCUCGGACGACGAACUGAGGUCCACCCCCGACUGUACGAGCUGCGAGGAACACGACAGUGAGAAAGUCGUCAACGGGUGGCACCCAAGGGACACCCCUCGGGAGGUCAAAGUCACCCUUAUCGACACCCGAAGACGCAAGAAGACAGUCAGGUUCGACGGUCCUCAAACCAAGGACUCGGGCAUUGACACAUCCAGCACGUUCACAUCCAGUGAGGAUUCGAACAGCGCGCCCAAGCAUCCGUUGUCAUGGCAAAUAUCCAAGGACAAUACUCGAAUGACUGGUCACAUGAUCCUGAAGAAGACCCAGCGUGCAGAUGGUGGAGGGCCGUCCUCUUCCACGAGUAUCCUAGGGCUGAAGGUGGUGGGAGGACAACUUCUACCAGGGGGCGGCCGGGGUGCAAUAAUUGAGAAGGUCAAGAAAGGCAGCACGGCGGACAAAGAGGGGCAGCUCAGGCCAGGUGACGAGGUUGUCGAGUGGAACGGGCGAUCGUUGCAAGGCAAGAGCUACCAGGAAGUUACCGACAUUAUUGCCGAGUCCAAGCAAGAGCCGCAGGUGGAGCUGAUAGUGACUCGGCUGCUGCCCAACAGACGUGGCCGCGGCCAAUAUCCCCCCUCCCCCACCACCUCCCACAAAGACACCUACGAAGGCGGAGGUCGCAAAGACAAGCCGAGUGUGUUGGUCACUUCCCCCGGGUCACCGGAGCUACAUGCCUCCUCCAGGUCACACCGCAUGCCUGCCUUUACCAACAGCAGCGUCGGCGGCCGCAUACAGGUGAAGCUGUGGUUUGACUCAGGUGCGCUACAGCUGGUAGUGACACUAGUGUGUGCGGCUGGUCUGAUGCCCCGGAGUAACGGACAGCCUCGCAACCCCUACGCCAAACUCUUCCUCCUACCUGAUAGAAGUGAAAAAUCUAAAAGAAGAACAAAAACAUUAGCAAAUACAAACGACCCAAAGUGGAAUCAGAGUUUUGUCUACUCGUCGAUCAGAAGAGCGGAUUUGAAACUCAGAAUAGUAGAGAUCACGGUGUGGGACUAUGUGCACUAUGGGACCAACCAUUUCCUGGGAGAGGUUAUGGUAGAACUGAGUGUGGCGCUUCUGGACAACGAACCUGAGUGGUUUCAUCUCAGUCCACACGAAGAAGUUCUAAUACCACAUGCGGUUGAGGAUGUUGACAUUGCUCUGACGCCCACUGACCACCUAUCGCCACCAAGCACGACGUCACGCCUCUCGGACUCCGACCCCUCUGACCUGGACGACACACGGGAGAGGAGAGUAGCGGACGGAGCCUCUGUCAGCAGUCUCGGUAGCUCUGCCAGCCCUCCUCCUGACGUAGAGAUGGCAGAGAGACAUCGGUCACGUCGAGACAUGUCGCCGCAAGGGAGAAAACGAGCCACCGUCGUUCAAGUCAAACCUCACACACUCCCCUACGACUCACAAAGAAGAGGAGGCAGUAAUCAGAGAUCACACUCUGCUGCACCUCCUCUCGAAGGUCGGUCUCGCUCUAAGAGUCCUCACCGCAGCCUAUCACCUCCUGAGUAUCGAGUAUACCAGCCGAAUGUAGUGCUUCCAUCCCACGCGUAUGUGCCUCGCUUUUCCUCCAGAUCAGCCACCGCUACCCCGAUGACGUCUCCCAAGAAACGUCAACUGCCUCAGAUACCCCACACAGCAAUGCUCAGAGAAGCUCUCCGCGAGAGAGUCACACAGCAGGACAUGGAGGAGCGAGCACAUCUCAUGAAGCAGAGAAUGAGACAGAUGCAGUCUAGAGGGUCAGCGGGAUACACAGGGAGCAUGUCGAGGCACUUCACCGGCCUGUCUGACAGCGACCUGCCGUCGUCUGACAUGGACAGGCCGUGGGGUGGCCACAUCCCCGGCCGCACGAUGACUUCACUGGACAAGGAUAUCAUCGGGACGACGGACCUGGGCGAUAGCGACCUUGAGAGUGUCGUCAGCAUCACUAGCAGUGCCUUCUCUACACAGAGCGAGCGACCUCGCGGCUCACGGGGCUUCAGCGACUACGGAGAGCGAUCUCACACGACGGUACAGCCGCCACCACAAGGGGGACACAACAAGAGGCCGCCGUUCUCUAGAAGUCUCUCGAACGCGGACGUCCAACCAGACGAACGUGGUGACGGAAGUCUAAGUGACACAGCCGUCAGUCAUCAUCACCAUAUCAACGGGUCUCGCCGCAAAGCAGCGUCGGGCAGCGGCUCUGGCACGACGAGCGGCAAACAGUCGCACAGUCAAGGCAUGGGCAAGAAGAGCAACUCUACCAGCCAACUGUCGGCCACAGGCCGCAAACGUAGGUUAGGUUUCGGAACAAAAGGCAAAUCGUCGUUCACCGUUCAUCGGUCCGAAGAGGUGCUGCCCGACGAAGUGCGACAUUUGAUCAAGCAGGGUUCAUCUGUGUCGAGCGACGGGGAGGGCUCGCAGGACGGAGACAGUUGGGCGCCAUCACUCAAAGGUUCAGACGGAGGUCCUCUGUCGGACUUUAUCGAGGGGCUAGGCCCUGGACAGCUGGUGGGCCGGCAAGUCCUGGGGGCUCCGUCCUUGGGCGACAUUCAGCUCAGCAUGUGCUACCAGAAGGGAUAUCUGGAGGUGGAGGUGAUACGAGCGCGAGGGCUGCAAUCCAGACAGGGCUCUAAAGUGUUACCAGCGCCUUAUGUGAAAGUGUACCUUGUAAGUGGGAAGAAAUGUUUGGCGAAAGCGAAAACAGCGACAGCCAGACGAACUUUGGAUCCUCUUUACCAGCAAACACUUACCUUCAGGGAACCUUUUCAAGGCUGCAUACUGCAGGUUACAGUGUGGGGCGACUAUGGCCGUAUUGAAGGCAAGAAAGUGUUCAUGGGAGUCGCCCAAAUCAUGCUCGACGACCUCAACUUAUCAAAUAUUGUGAUCGGCUGGUACAAAUUGUUUGGGACCACAUCCUUGGUUAGUGGGCCCCCUUCGCUGGGCCUCUCUCGACGCAGCUCCCUUGCUAGUCUUGACUCCAUUAAGUUAUAGUCCUCCCCACCCUUGUAGAUAACUCCUCCGUUUUACGUUCUCUUUUAGUUUUUCCUAUGAUUUUCUCCGUUUACUUUUCAUCUUCCACACUUUCCUGGUCCGUGGCAAUAAAGUAGUGACGAGUGAAAAGUUUUGAAUUGCUCCUUUAAAAUUGUCAGCUUAAGACGAGAUUUAUAGUUUGCGAGAGCUUUUGUAUUAACGAGAUUUAAAAUAUUAAAAUAUAAAUAAUCGCUACAUCCCUAGAUAUGAGUUUUCAGAAAAAACUGUAUUUGUACAAAAAGGGAUAUAUUCGAACCUGCAGUGCUUCUUGACUACUUUAUAGUCAGUCCUGUCCUACAUAUCAUGUGAAUGAAAAUAUUUUUCACUUUUCUACUUUUUUCUUAGCUUUAGUUUGUCUGUUUAGUUGUAGACCAUCACCGGGCUUCUUCAGCUGACCUAGUGAGUGUUUCGCUUACGUGUGACUCCAAAGAACGUUAGUGUGGUGCUAUAAGUGCGUUUGUUGGUUUGUGGCGGUCAAUGCUCAUUUUUUUACAUUUGACAAAUAUAAUUUAAAAUUUCUAUUACCAUUUUACCUUUAGGUAAAAUAUAUAAAUAUAUAUAUAUAAGUAAAUAUAUAUAUAUGAAAUUAUACUACGAGAUUCAGCAGCACACGGUGUCUCGUCACGUUGUACAGAUAGGUUCUAAGUUAUAAGCGAUGUUGUGUACCAUUCUGUUCCAUGUUCUAUGCGAUAUUGUCGUGGGAUGUUGUAGACGAGGCCAUUUACUCCCCUAAGGUGGAGCGCUUGUUGAAAGUUGUAUGAUUUUUGUGCUUUCUUUCUUGUCUUAUCGAGCUUGAUGAUUUUAGCUCACUCUGGCGGAGCAGGUAUUUUUUGUAGGCUUCCCUCCGACUCUUGUUAUCCGUACGAAGUUAAGUCAAAGUAGAAUAUAGACUAGCUACUUAUGUAAAACAUGUGCAAAUUUUUAAGGACAUUUUUAUACGCUAUGUUAAGUUGUAUUUGGAAUUGUACAAAUUUAUGAAAUAAUAAUUGUACAUAUUUCUGUUUAUCAAGCCGAUCUGUUUGUAUCGUAAUAUUUUCUUCAUUAGUAGCACAACAAUUUAUUUGUGAGAUUGACAAACGACCUGACAGAUAAAAGCUAUUUAUUACAGAUAGAUUUCAGUGCUGGUAACGUUAAUGGUUUGUUUGAAAAGCUUUAAUUAAAUCUACCACAAAGUACUAUGAAAAAUAAUUUUUAAAUACUAUUGUAUAACUGAAAUAAUUUGUUUUAGUUCAAGAAUACUUAAAUGCAAAAUUAUUUUUUAUCAUAAGUACCUAUGUUAUAACCAUAUUGCUAGUUAUGAAAGGACUCUUAUGGUAUUUAUAGAUAGCGGAAAAAUUAACAUAAGAAUUAUGAUGGUUUAACCUAAACAAAAGAAAAUGUAUCAAAUAUAGUUGAUAAGUAAUGUCUUGUGACAUUUUGGUUUCUGUGAAACCACUAAACACAUACAAGUAAGAGCUAAACAAAGUCCUUUAGGAAAUAUUGAAUAAAGCUUCAACAUAUUUUUAAAUAAUUGAUGUACCUAUUUUGUUUGUAAGUGAUAAGAGCGAAUAUAUUUCCAAUUUGUAAUUUAGUGUUUUCUGGUUAGCAGAGUUAAUAGAAAAAAUAACUUAAAAUUUUUAAUACAGUAGUUUAACAUUAAAUCAUAUAAAAGUGAAAAUCCCUGAUUUUGAGAAUGUUAUUUGUAGGUCAGUUAUUUAUUUAUUUUUAUUUCUUACAAUUUAUAAUAAUUUAUUGCACUUCCACUCACUUGUGUACUAAUUUAUAAUUUCUUUUACUCCAUGAAGUAUUUCCUUUUACACUUUGUGAAUGAAUCAUUGCUACCCCAUAUUGCUGAAAUGUGCCUUUUUAGAUAACCUCUCAUUGUUUCCUUUAUGUAUUGCACAUAAUUUGAAUGUUAGAAUUUGUCACUGGAUGCUUUUACAACAUUACCAUAAGGUAUUGAAAGUUUGUUUGAUUUGCGUUGUUACAUCUGCAAAGCUAUCUUAGAAUAUGUAAAAAAACAUAACUUUAAACCAUGUUUGCUGACCUUUGUAACUCGCAGACAUUUUUAUAACUGCAAUAUUUAACUUUACGAUUAUUUUUACAGUAAGGAAACAUGUAUAAUGAUUGUACACUAUAGCAAAGCUAAAAAAUAAUUUCUCGGAUCAAAGCUAACAAUAAAGAGUAAACAUGGCUAGACAUCGUCAAAAAUUAUUAUCAUUUAGUAUAACUUUAGGAAAACUCAACUUAUCUUUUAUACAUAUACAAUUUUCAUAUUUGAAAGUCCCAAGCAGCUUUGAAAUAUUUCUUACAAAACAAAAGAUUAAAUCACAAAAUAUCAAUAUAAUGACUCAUAGUUAAUUUAAUUCAAUGAAGUGAUCUAUAUUGAUGUGACUUAAAACAAGUGAAGAAGUAUUUUUACAAAACCUAGAUUACAUUUUGUAUUUUUUUUACAAAAGUGUUUCUUACUACUAAAAUAAACAACGUAUCGUUUACAAAUCCAGUGAUCUUUUAACAUUCAGUGCAUCGCGGCCGGAGUUUUUAUAUACAUGACAAUAACAAAAUGUUUAAAAGCACAGUUUCAAUCCUAGUCACGUUCUUCAUUAGCUUGUGAAAUUCAAAUUUAGGCUUUUCGUUUGCCUCUAAAUUAAGUAGCGAUAUUUUUAAGGUAGUCGAAAAUAGUCUAUGAAUUUGGCUUGUAAAUAUCUUUCGGGUUUAGAGAUUGUGCUCAAAGGGAUAUUUUUGUUAGUGAUAGCAGGGUGGUGAUCUGUAUCCAUAUCAUGCAGAGUGUGCGGGCACCGUGUGCUGCUGAGCUCUAAUGAGGGCGACAAUACAAGGUCUUAGCUCUGCUGUACUCUAGUAUGUAUAAAGGCAUUUAUAAGUAUUCAACUAAAUAA
This is an RNA transcript of Macrosteles quadrilineatus (aster leafhopper), 6965 nucleotides long. It is a transcript of the gene named regulating synaptic membrane exocytosis protein 2-like, with no coding region annotated. NCBI's taxonomy places the organism in Eukaryota, Metazoa, Arthropoda, Insecta, Hemiptera, Cicadellidae. The transcript is spliced from 23 exons. The record is from RefSeq and is a predicted model, not a curated record.